UUUCCGUAGGUGAACCUGCGGAAGGAUCAUUAAAGAGAUCAUGCCCUCACGGGUAGACCUCCCACCCUUUGUUUACAAUACCCUUGUUGCUUUGGCGGGCCCGUUUGGCCCCGCGCUGAACAACCGGCCCCGGCUGGUCAGUGCCCGCCAGAGAACCGAAAACUCUGAAUUAAAUGUCGUCUGAGUACUAUGUAAUAGUUAAAACUUUCAACAACGGAUCUCUUGGUUCUG
This 231-nucleotide unclassified non-coding RNA is filed under the name plant metagenome. RNAcentral describes it as "partial contains small subunit ribosomal RNA, internal transcribed spacer 1, and 5.8S ribosomal RNA". The record is from RNAcentral.